GACGAACGCUGGCGGCGUGCCUAAUACAUGCAAGUAGAACGCUGAAGGAGGAGCUUGCUCUUCUGGAUGAGUUGCGAACGGGUGAGUAACGCGUAGGUAACCUGCCUGGUAGCGGGGGAUAACUAUUGGAAACGAUAGCUAAUACCGCAUAACAGUAGAUGUUGCAUGACAUUUGCUUAAAAGGUGCAAUUGCACCACUACCAGAUGGACCUGCGUUGUAUUAGCUAGUUGGUGGGGUAACGGCUCACCAAGGCGACGAUACAUAGCCGACCUGAGAGGGUGAGCGGCCACACUGGGACUGAGACACGGCCCAGACUCCUACGGGAGGCAGCAGUAGGGAAUCGUCGGCAAUGGACGGAAGUCGGACCGAGCAACGCCGCGUGAGUGAAGAAGGUUUUCGGAUCGUAAAGCUCUGUUGUAAGAGAAGAACGAGUGUGAGAGUGGAAAGUUCACACUGUGACGGUAUCUUACCAGAAAGGGACGGCUAACUACGUG
RNAcentral lists this ribosomal RNA (495 nucleotides) under uncultured bacterium. Its description in RNAcentral is "partial 16S ribosomal RNA". It matches the Rfam family "Bacterial small subunit ribosomal RNA", at positions 28 to 507 of the family's 1533-position model. The record is from RNAcentral.